RNAcentral lists this long non-coding RNA (1434 nucleotides) under Sus scrofa (pig). RNAcentral's name for it is "lncRNA (ENSSSCG00040070721.1)". The record is from RNAcentral. Lineage: Eukaryota; Metazoa; Chordata; Mammalia; Artiodactyla; Suidae.
UUUUUUUGAAUGCCCUGCAGCAUAUGGAGUUCCCGGGCCAGGGAUCAGUCCAAGCCACAGUUGCAACCUAUGCUGCAUCUUCGGCAACACUGGAUCCUUAACUCACUGUGCCAGGCCGGGGAUUGAACCUUUGUCUCAGCGCUCCAGAGACACCUCUGAACCCAUCGUACCACGGCAGGAACUCCCAUAAAUGUGAUCUUAUACAGGUUUUAACGUGUUUUUACAUUUUUUCCUUUUAUUUAUUAAAUAAACAUUUCUGCAUCUCCCUUUUCUCACUCAUCAAUACCUGGAAGCCCCUGGCAGAUUUAAUUCACUGUUUUUAACAGCCACACACUUGCCCACCCACUGUGUCUUUCUACUUGGUCCUCCUGGCUCAAGGUCAUCUUCUAGAGUAACAUCUCCACCUCUACCUCCAACACAUUAGGGAAUCUCACCAGGCCAGGUGAGAGAAAAAGGCAGUGGGAAGGCAGCAAGUGGUGUUUCUAGCGCUGUCUUGUCCAUCCCCUUGCUGGUGGCCAGCAGCCCUCAGCCCCUAGAGGCGGGAAUGCUGACUAUGUUAUUGUGAAAUCAUUUGUAUAUUGUGAAGUGCUUUGCAUAUGAUGGAGUGAUUUGCAUAUAUGGGGGGCAUCUUAGAGAUCCCAGAGCAGCAUCCCUGAGUGUCCUCCUCCUCCUCCCUCUGCAAAGUAAUCAACCUAGGGUUUCCACUUCAGAAAUUAGGCGGGGGAAGAGGAGGGUGUCCCGGCAGAACUGUGGGCCGUGAGGGGGAAGCAGACAGGGGGCUUUCAGAGGAAAGCUGAUCCCUCUUGGUAGGAUUGGGGUCUAAGAAAGGCAGCGUUGGAGUGUGAGGUGGAACAGGGCAACUGGUGUAGCAUGUGACACUUGUGCCCUCAGAGCCCCCAGUAAGGGAAAGUGACACAGGAUGGAUGAAGGAAGUACCCUAGGAGGCAGAUGAGGGUCAGAGGCUUAGAGACUCCCACCCUGUCACAAUCUCUGUCCAAAUGAGUACCCAAGGGCCCGUUCCUGAGUAUAGGUGGUCCUGGCUGAUUCCCAGAGAAGGAUGCAAAGUGGAAAUGCCAAGCCAGAUUCCUAAGACUCUAGAAAUGAGAGCUGCUGUCACAUGCCCUGGGUUCAGGAAUAUUCAGGUUUCAAUUGUGGCUCUGUCAUCCGUGCUAUUGUGUGACCCUGGGCUAACUACCCCACCUCAAUGGGCUAGACUGAGGGUUCUUUAAGACAAUGCAAGCAGAGUAAAUGGCAGGUGUUCAGCAAUAAACUGCGGUUAUAAUAAUAAUGCUAUUGUUUGCUGCCUUAAUCUGAGGUGAGGGAAGCACAGAGCCCUUGCUCCCCCAGGUUUGGAGUUACCAGCAGCAGUGUCAAGCCACCGUGCAUUGGACUCCAAAGGGUUACAAGCCCUGGAGACAAAGGCCUGAGGUUCCC